UGCUAGAUGGGAAUGAUAUCAGGCACCUAGACCUUAAGUGGCUCAGGCAACAAAUUGGACUAGUUAAUCAGGAGCCUGCCCUUUUUGCGACGAGCAUAAGGGAGAACAUUCUCUAUGGAAAAGAUNNAACCCUUGAUGAGAUAGUAAAUUCUGCUAAACUCUCAGAAGCUAUGUCUUUUAUCAACAACCUCCCUGACAGAUUUGAAACUCAGGUUGGUGAGAGGGGAAUACAGCUAUCAGGUGGAC
RNAcentral lists this unclassified non-coding RNA (246 nucleotides) under Hevea brasiliensis (rubber tree). Lineage: Eukaryota; Viridiplantae; Streptophyta; Magnoliopsida; Malpighiales; Euphorbiaceae. The record is from RNAcentral.